RNAcentral lists this ribosomal RNA (119 nucleotides) under Peromyscus maniculatus bairdii (prairie deer mouse). Lineage: Eukaryota; Metazoa; Chordata; Mammalia; Rodentia; Cricetidae. The record is from RNAcentral.
GUCUACAGCCAUACCACCCUGAACAAGCCCGAUCUCGUCUGAUCUCAGAAGCUAAGCAGGGUUGGGCCUGGUUAGUACUUGGAUGGGAGACCACCUGGGAAUACCGGGUACUGUAGGCU